Molecule: unclassified non-coding RNA, 343 nt
Filed under: soil metagenome
Description: partial contains 5.8S ribosomal RNA, internal transcribed spacer 2, and large subunit ribosomal RNA
Rfam family: 5.8S ribosomal RNA (bases 1-120)
Source: RNAcentral
GAUGAAGAACGUAGCGAAAUGCGAUAAGUAAUGUGAAUUGCAGAAUUCAGUGAAUCAUCGAAUCUUUGAACGCACAUUGCGACCGCCAGUAUUCUGGCGGGCAUGCCUGUUCGAGCGUCAUUUCAACCCUCAGGACCCUUUGGACCUGGUGUUGGGGCUCGGCCGCUACCCCGCGGCCGUCCCCGAAAGAUAGUGGCGGUCUCGCUGUAGCGUCCUCUGCGUAGUAAUUACACCUCGCACUGGAACGCGGCGCGGCCACGCCGUUAAACACCCCACUUCUCAAGGUUGACCUCGGAUCAGGUAGGAAUACCCGCUGAACUUAAGCAUAUCAAUAAGCGGAGGA